Mirounga angustirostris (Northern elephant seal) is the source of this 772-nucleotide long non-coding RNA. RefSeq lists it as uncharacterized. Lineage: Eukaryota; Metazoa; Chordata; Mammalia; Carnivora; Phocidae. The transcript has 4 exons. The record is from RefSeq and is a predicted model, not a curated record.
CCGGGAGUCACGUGACCGGCUGCCCGGGGCUUCCGACCUGCCAGCGAAAGUCCGCCUCCGCCAGUAGUCGCGGGCUGGCCACCUGCAGUUUGUUGCUCGCCCCGCCCUGCUCGUCCUUAGGUCCCAAUUAAUUAGCGUCCUUCCCCCAGAAACGGAGUCUUAACCAGUCAGUCGGGAAUUUUCUGAUCAGCAUCAAUAAGGAAUCUUGUCACAUGGGCCCUUCUCCAACCUCCAAAAGAAGGCAAGGAACGUGACAAGGAACAAGGAUGGUUGAGUUUCAUCUUCCUUGGUUUGGUUGCCAGCUGGCAGAAUGAAGAAAAAGGAACAGAAGCAAGAAUCUAAGUGAUUCAUGAAGUGACUUAUCAGCACAGUAUAACUAAGAAUUGGUAGUAUUAAGUCUUCCACUCCUGAAGACAACUGGCACCAGGAGCAUCAUAAUUCUGAGAUGGUGCAGGGGUAGUCUAAGGCACAUUCCCAUUGUUGAAUUUACUGAGGCCCAUGGGAAGCUUCGAGGAUGGUGGCUGAAGGCUCCUGUAAGUCUCCGGUUUUCUAAGAAACAGCCUUGAUCAGCUGGAAAGGGCCUUGUGAGAUCUUCAGCUCCAGCUCACCCCCAGACUUCAAAGCCAGUCUAAAUCUAUACAAAAGGGCCUCAAAUCCAUUGUAUAAUUGGCUAGGUAUCAAUAAACAACUAUCCGGACUAGUGAAAUGUGUGAAUUUAUAUGCUGAUUUUCUUAUUUUAAAAUGAUUCUGGGAAAAAAUAUUCCACAGUUUC